GCAACAGCACACCAGCGAACCAUCAGCGCAACCUGCAGAGGAUGAUGGGAAACAGAGUCUUCCUGCUGAAGUCCUGCAGCUGCUGAGGACCACGCUCAGCUCAUACCAGCAGAGGCUGUUAGACGCUGACAGACAGCUCCAGGAUCUGCUGCUGGUGUCGGAGAAGCUGCAGGACGAGAACCAGAGUCUUCAGCAGCUGACCUCAGAUCAGAGGAGUCAGAUUGAUGAGUCUCAGCAGGAGACGCUGAAACUGAAGGAGGAGGUGUCUCGCUUACGCCAGGAGAGCUCUGAUUGGUCGACACAGAGUCAAAGCCAGGAGGCCGAGCUGCAGAGAGAGAGGGAGGAGAGGAAGAGGGAACUAGAGAAGGAGAGGGAGGAGAGGACAGCAGACGUCCAGGAGAUAACUGAACACUACAAGAAAGAGUCGACGGUGCUGAAUCGAGAUUUUUAACAUUUGUCUCUCUUUUUUUUCUCAUUUCUCUUCUUCCAUGUUCAGCUUCCUCUUCACUUCAUGAUUCUGGUGCUGCAUUAAUCUGUCCGUUACUUUCAAACUAUUUUUAUCUUCUGUUGACUCAAUUUAAAUGAA
Long non-coding RNA from Pundamilia nyererei, 586 nucleotides. RefSeq lists it as uncharacterized. The transcript has 3 exons. NCBI's taxonomy places the organism in Eukaryota, Metazoa, Chordata, Actinopteri, Cichliformes, Cichlidae. The record is from RefSeq and is a predicted model, not a curated record.